Mycena leptocephala is the source of this 89-nucleotide non-coding RNA. The record is from the annotation of a GenBank genome assembly. Lineage: Eukaryota; Fungi; Basidiomycota; Agaricomycetes; Agaricales; Mycenaceae.
GCCAUCGUGGGCCAUGGUGGCUGCCCUCCAAAUAUUAGCUGGAAGUAAAAGCAAGAAGGGAGAUGGAGGUUCGAAUCCUCCCAAUGGCA